RNAcentral lists this ribosomal RNA (855 nucleotides) under bacterium SCGC AAA018-D10. RNAcentral describes it as "SSU rRNA". It matches the Rfam family "Bacterial small subunit ribosomal RNA", at positions 63 to 870 of the family's 1533-position model. The record is from RNAcentral.
CGAACGAUCUUACGUUGAAACUGUAGUGGUAGCAAUAUCGCUGCAGAAUUGAUGUUUGAUAGUGGCAAAAGGGUGCGUAACACAUGGGUAAUUUACCUAAGGGUUCGGAAUAACCUGCCGAAAGGCGGGCUAAUACUGGAUAAGACCACGACUCGGCAUCGAGUUGAGGUUAAAGGGGAGGACCGCAAGGCUUCCCACCCUAUGAUGAGCCCGUGUCCUAUCAGCUAGUUGGUGAGGUAACGGCCCACCAAGGCUUUUGACGGGUAGCUGGCCUUAGAGGGUGGUCAGCCACAUUGGGACUGAGAUACUGCCCAGACUCCUACGGGAGGCUGCAGUCGAGGAUCUUUAGCAAUGGGCGAAAGCCUGACUAUGCGACGCCGCGUGGACGAUGAAGGCCUUCGGGUUGUAAAGUCCUGUCAGGGGGGAUGAAUAUCUGUGACCUAAUACGUUGCAGGUUUGACAGUACCCUCAGAGGAAGCCACGGCUAACUCCGUGCCAGCAGCCGCGGUAAUACGGAGGUGGCGAGCGUUAUUCGGAUUUACUGGGUGUAAAGGGUAUGUAGGCGGGCUUGCAAGUCAGGCGUGAAAGCCCUUGGCUCAACCAAGGAAUUGCGCAUGAAACUGCUUGUCUUGAGUGCGGGAGAGGAGAACGGAAUUCCCGGUGUAAGGGUGAAAUCUGUAGAGAUCGGGAGGAACACCAGUGGCGAAAGCGGUUCUCUGGUCCGUUACUGACGCUGAAAUACGAAAGCUUGGGGAGCAAACAGGAUUAGAUACCCUGGUAGUCCAAGCCGUAAACGAUGGGCACUAGGUGUAGUCUCGCAAGGGGCUGUGCCGCAGUUAACACAUUAAGUGCCCC